GAUAAACGCUGGCGGCGUGCUUAACACAUGCAAGUCGAACGAAGUUUUUCCUUCUGGAGAAACUUAGUGGCGGACGGGUGAGUAACGCGCGGGUAACCUGCCCUGUACAGGGGGACAACAGCUGGAAACGGCUGCUAAUACCGCCUAAGCACUUAGCACUGCAUGGUGCAGAGGUAAAAGGAGCAAGCCGGUACAGGAGGGACCGGCGUCUGAUUAGCCAGUUGGCAGGGUAACGGCCUACCAAAGCGACGAUCAGUAGCCGAUCUGAGAGGAUGUACGGCCACAUUGGGACUGAGACACGGUCCAGACUCCUACGGGAGGCAGCAGUGGGGAAUAUUGCACAAUGGAGGAAACCAUGAUGCAGCGACGCCGGGUGAGUGAAGAAGUAUUUCAGUAUGUAAAGCUCUAUCAGCAGGGAAGAAAAUGACGGUACCUGACUAAGAAGCACCGGCUAAAUACGUG
Molecule: ribosomal RNA, 462 nt
Filed under: uncultured bacterium
Lineage: Bacteria
Description: partial 16S ribosomal RNA
Rfam family: Bacterial small subunit ribosomal RNA
Source: RNAcentral